Molecule: ribosomal RNA, 251 nt
Filed under: uncultured prokaryote
Description: partial 16S ribosomal RNA
Rfam family: Bacterial small subunit ribosomal RNA
Source: RNAcentral
ACGGAGGGGGCAAGCGUUGUUCGGAAUUACUGGGCGUAAAGCGCACGUAGGCGGCUAACCAAGUUGGGGGUGAAAGCCCAGGGCUUAACCCUGGAACUGCCUUCAAGACUGGUUGGCUAGAGGCCGACAGAGGUAAGGGGAAUUCCUAGUGUAGAGGUGAAAUGCGUAGAUAUCAGGAAGAACAUCCGUGGCGAAGGCGACUGACUGGGUCGGAACUGACGCUGAGGCGCGAAAGCGUGGGGAUCAAACAG